GGUAGGCAUGGUGGCGUGUGUCUGUAGUCCUAGCUACUUGGGAGGCCAAGGCAGGAGGAUACUUUGAGCCCAGGAGUUCAAGGAUGCAGUGAGCUAUGAUUGUGCCACUGCAUUCCAGCCUGGGCAACAGAGCAAGACCCUGUCUUUA
Molecule: unclassified non-coding RNA, 148 nt
Organism: Macaca fascicularis (crab-eating macaque)
Lineage: Eukaryota; Metazoa; Chordata; Mammalia; Primates; Cercopithecidae
Rfam family: Metazoan signal recognition particle RNA
About the family: The signal recognition particle (SRP) is a universally conserved ribonucleoprotein. It is involved in the co-translational targeting of proteins to membranes. The eukaryotic SRP consists of a 300-nucleotide 7S RNA and six proteins: SRPs 72, 68, 54, 19, 14, and 9.
Source: Ensembl